This 253-nucleotide ribosomal RNA is filed under the name uncultured bacterium. RNAcentral describes it as "partial 16S ribosomal RNA". It matches the Rfam family "Bacterial small subunit ribosomal RNA", at positions 524 to 776 of the family's 1533-position model. The record is from RNAcentral.
UACGAAGGGGGCUAGCGUUGCUCGGAAUCACUGGGCGUAAAGCGCACGUAGGCGGAUCUUUAAGUCAGGGGUGAAAUCCUGGAGCUCAACUCCAGAACUGCCUUUGAUACUGAGAGUCUUGAGUCCGGGAGAGGUGAGUGGAACUGCGAGUGUAGAGGUGAAAUUCGUAGAUAUUCGCAAGAACACCAGUGGCGAAGGCGGCUCACUGGCCCGGUACUGACGCUGAGGUGCGAAAGCGUGGGGAGCAAACAGG